This 1191-nucleotide ribosomal RNA is filed under the name Candidatus Phytoplasma pini. RNAcentral describes it as "bacterial SSU rRNA". It matches the Rfam family "Bacterial small subunit ribosomal RNA", at positions 165 to 1354 of the family's 1533-position model. Lineage: Bacteria; Bacillati; Mycoplasmatota; Mollicutes; Acholeplasmatales; Acholeplasmataceae. The record is from RNAcentral.
AAGACUGGAUAGGAAAUAAAAAGGCAUCUUUUUAUUUUUAAAAGACCUUUUUCGAAAGGUAUGCUUAAAGAGGGGCUUGCGCCAUAUUAGUUAGUUGGUAGGGUAAAAGCCUACCAAGACGAUGAUAUGUAGCUGGACUGAGAGGUUGAACGGCCACAUUGGGACUGAGACACGGCCCAAACUCCCACGGGAGGCAGCAGUAGGGAAUUUUCGGCAAUGGAGGAAACUCUGACCGAGCAACGUCGCGUGAACGAUGAAGUAUUUCGGUAUGUAAAGUUCUUUUAUUGAAGAAGAAAAAAUAGUGGAAAAACUAUCUUGACGCUAUUCAAUGAAUAAGCCCUGGCUAAUUAUGUGCCAGCAGCCGCGGUAAUACAUAAAGGGCGAGCGUUAUCCGGAAUUAUUGGGCGUAAAGGGUGCGUAGGCGGUUUGUUAAGUCUUUAGUUUAAUCUCAGUGCUUAACGCUGUUCUGCUAGAGAAACUGACUUACUAGAGUGAGAUAGAGGCAAGUGGAAUUCCAUGUGUCAGCGGUAAAAUGCGUAAAUAUAUGGAGGAACACCAGAGGCGUAGGCGGCUUGCUGGGUCUUUACUGACGCUGAGGCACGAAAGCGUGGGGAGCAAACAGGAUUAGAUACCCUGGUAGUCCACGCCGUAAACGAUGAGUACUAAGUGUCGGGGAAACUCGGUACUGAAGUUAACACAUUAAGUACUCCGCCUGAGUAGUACGUACGCAAGUAUGAAACUUAAAGGAAUUGACGGGAUCCCGCACAAGCGGUGGAUCAUGUUGUUUAAUUCGAAGAUACACGAAAAACCUUACCAGGUCUUGACAUACUCUGCAAAGCUGUAGAAAUACAGUGGAGGUUAUCAGGGAUACAGGUGGUGCAUGGUUGUCGUCAGCUCGUGUCGUGAGAUGUUAGGUUAAGUCCUAGAACGAGCGCAACCCUUGUCGUUAGUUACCAGCACGUUAUGGUGGGCACUUUAACGAGACUGCCAAUGAAAUAUUGGAGGAAGGUGAGGAUUACGUCAAAUCAUCAUGCCCCUUAUGAUCUGGGCUACAAACGUGAUACAAUGGCUGUUACAAAGAGUAGCUGAAACGUGAGUUUUUGGCCAAUCUCAAAAAAACAGCCUCAGUUCGGAUUGAAGUCUGCAACUCGACUUCAUGAAGUUGGAAUCGCUAGUAAUCGCAAAUCAGCA